Molecule: unclassified non-coding RNA, 256 nt
Filed under: Geoglossum variabilisporum
Lineage: Eukaryota; Fungi; Ascomycota; Geoglossomycetes; Geoglossales; Geoglossaceae
Description: sequence contains 5.8S rRNA gene
Rfam family: 5.8S ribosomal RNA (bases 1-53)
Source: RNAcentral
GAACGCAUAUUGCGCCCUUUGGUAUUCCGAAGGGCAUGCCUGUUCGAGCGUCAUGAUCAAACCUCAAGCAUUGCUUGGUAUUGGGUUUUCGUCUCUGCCUGUCUUUGUAUUGGUAGCGACGUGCCUGAAAGUUAAUGGCGGUGCCUCAAUAGACUCAAGCGAAGCAGACUGACUCGCUUUGGAGAACUUUUGUUGUACUGUUAACAAAACAAUCAAGUUUGGACCUCGGAUCAGGUAGGGAUACCCGCUGAACUUA